This is a long non-coding RNA of Alosa sapidissima (American shad), 319 nucleotides long. RefSeq lists it as uncharacterized. The record is from RefSeq and is a predicted model, not a curated record. Lineage: Eukaryota; Metazoa; Chordata; Actinopteri; Clupeiformes; Clupeidae. The transcript has 4 exons.
UGGUCUGAUAUCGAGUUGCUGGACGAGCAGAAGAAUGCUAUGGAUGCAACCUGAAGGUCCAAGACUCAAUCCACUGAAGGCUCUCUCUCGUAAGAUGGUGGAUCUGAUGUCUGCUUUGUGGUCCUAUAGGACGACGCCAUGGAUUGGGGUCAGAGAUGCGCCUGAGAAGUGCUGUAAAUGCUGGCCAUAUGACUUCAACCUUCAUCCAACCAAACGAAGAGAUCCUGCUUUCCUGCACUCACACUAAUCCAUUGAGGAUGUUAGUUAAUUCAAAGACAAGAACAGUAUUUAGUUUUGUAAAUGCUUAACUACCACGCAA